Passer domesticus (house sparrow) is the source of this 6371-nucleotide long non-coding RNA. RefSeq lists it as uncharacterized. The record is from RefSeq and is a predicted model, not a curated record. The transcript is spliced from 3 exons. NCBI's taxonomy places the organism in Eukaryota, Metazoa, Chordata, Aves, Passeriformes, Passeridae.
AGGGUAUAAAAGGUUAUAUUGGAAACUAAAGUGCUGAUGCUUGAAGCCGUCUUUGGUAAUAAAGGACUGAUGCAGAUCCUUCAAGCUGACAAAAUUUGUGACUUCCACAUCUAGAAACGACAAGGAUUUUUGCAAUGCUUCAAUUGAAAGCAAAGUUUCUCCUUGAGCAAAGUGCCAUCUUAAACAGGAACCUGGAGGAUGGCAGCAUGUUGGCAGUGAAUGCAUAGAUGAAGCAUUUGCUAGAAGCUAAGAGACCAGGAAAUUAUAAUUUUCUUCAUGCUUUGAAUAAUGAAUGCUUGAAGCUUUAAAUGCGGUGUGUUUUCCUUGUGUUUUGAGAGAUGGGGUCAGGGAAUACCCACUUGUCCUCUCUUUGAGUGAUGAAAAGGACUGUAACUCAAGACCCUGUCUUUUUUUAGACCAUGAGUACCUAUAGCACGGGUUACAAGAUUAAUACAUGAAUAUGAAGUAUUCUUAGUGUUAAAAGAAGCAAAGGGUCUUACACAUUUUGCUACAUGUACUCUGUGCUUUGCACAGCUGGUGGUGUCAAAGAUCAUCAUGAUAUGUAGAACUUCUCAGUGGUUCAGACAGCAUCUCCAAGACUUUUGCCUAACUAAGAGUGAGAGCAGAGUAUUUUAGACUAAAAAUAAAUGACACCUGGGGUCAUCAAGUUCAAACUUCUGCAAAUGGAGACAAUGCUGAGUUGUUUUUGUUUAAUUCAAGUCAGUGCUGUUCAAGUUCAAAACAGUUUUGAGCUCUAUGUUUAACUACAAAGACUGCGUAAAAAAGACCAAAGCCUGAAGUUAGCUCCUUCAUUGCAUUUCUGUGCAAGCCUCUGAAAACAAGGCAUGUAUUACUACUUUAUUGCUAGACUUGGACUGCUUAGGUUUCUAAGGAAUACUUCAUAGGUGGACGUUGUAGUGAAAAGGAAAACACUACAUGUAGACUACAAAGAGUAAAGACAAAUGAGGUUCUUCACACUUUGAAAAGUGUCACUAUGAAUACUUAAACUAAGGAGUAAAAUGCUGCACUUUUAUCCUGGCUGUUUAAUAUGUUCCAGAAUGUUUAAGGUAGAUUUGACUCCCAAAAAUAUACUGGCAGAGUGACACAUUGUAUAGAACACAAACACAGAAAAAUAAAGCAACCCAUAAAAACUUUCUUUAGAUUGACUUCUAUUUUGGCUGACUCUUUAUAAUGCUGGAAGACUCUGAAUGCUGAAAGUCUAUGCCAAUACUAGUGAAGAUCCACUUAUGCAGAGGUUUCAGGACACCCAGCCAUGAGGCAAGGGGUCCUCUAUCAGACUCAGGUGGUUUGGUGCUGUGCUGGCUCAGCAAAUGAUGGGGCAAUGCUUCUUUGGUCCUCACAAAAACCUACAUUUCUCUCUUGCCUGGCUUUGCUGUCACUGACGUGUCUCUGCACCCUGCCAGUAAUGAUGCCAAGCAUUAUGACAGAGAAGAGGGGAAGGACAGGCAUCUCCUUCCUAGAGAGCUUUGGCAGUGACGUGCUGGCACUGGAUCAGCAAAUGCAUUCCAGGCUCCUGCUACUGAGCUGGUCAGCUUUUACAAGUAGACAAUUUCCUGCCAGACAAGAGUUUCGCCAAAUUUAGGCAUCUUAGCCUGUUAUGCAACAGCCCCAACUAAAUUACUAUAAUCUCAGUAAUGUAAUAGCCACUUGGCAUUUUAAGCCAGUGGUUCCAGCACUUACCAACUAACACAACUAAGCACACCAGAUCUCUCUUCUCUAUGUGAUAAUUUGUCAUUUAACCUCAGGCUGGCUUUUCAGAGCUCUUCAAGGUCAUGCUUUGUUCACACCCCUGAGACUCUCCUUUACUCUGGCAUCUAUGAAGCAUUUGUUGGUGGAAAAACAUUCCCCAUGUUAAAAUAAUGCUGCUCAUCUUAGUGUAUAAUAUAGUUCUUUGUUUUCCUUUUACUAAUCUGCCAGUUCUAGACUGUAGACUCUCUGGAGCAGGAACCAUUCUUUUAUAAAAGUUCUGACUUUCAAAAUUGGACCACCCUGUUGUAAAAGACCUGGUCUGAAAGCUACUAUGGCAUCAGCCAUUUGGAUACAGCAAUAUUAAAAAUUAAUAGAAAAUUAAAUUUUUUUAUAAGUCAAUGUAUGUUCUAGACUUCCACUAGGAAUGAUCUGGCCAUGAAGAACAGCUGUACACAGCUGUUGUCUUCUAAGAUAUAGAGAUCAUAUCAUACAUCAAUAACUUUCUCCCUUUCAAUUUGCAUUUUUUCACCUGAAAUUUACAUUUGUUCUAGCCUUUUUUCUGAGUUUGGUAAAAUAUCUGAGCUUGAAACUGUCUAAUCUAGAUAACAAGACUUAGAGGCAAGCAUCUCUGACACCAGGAAAAAAGAGAUGCUGAACAUCCAAUGGUGGACACACAACCUUCCAACUGGUUUUCCCCAAGUUACUGGACAUUAUAUUUGUGAUCUCCAGAGGCAAAAGAACAAAGGUCGUAUUUAGAAUUUGACUUUACAUUGUUCUUCAAUCAUCAGAGCAUUAAAGAAAUAUCACUUAACGUUGACCUUCUCAACAAGGGAAAAUUCUGCUUGUCUGUGGAGAAUGUGAGUCAGGAGCAAUUCUGUUGAAGCUUGUGGAGCUCCACCAUUAUUAAAAUUGUGUUACUGAAAGGAAAACUAGAACCAGAAAUUGGAGAGUUUUGCUCAUGAUAACUAAAGCUUUGUCUAGACUGGGGAUUUGCCCUGAUUACUGCCACUGGCUAGCAGCCACUGGUGUUUCUGCACCACUGUGAGUCCUUGCAUUGGCAGGUCAUGGUGCUAAUGGUGGUGGUAGAGGUUUGUCAGUUUAGGCAUGGAUAAUAUUCUCUGCUGGAUGUGUUGGCUUUCUCCAUUUACACCAUGUGAGAUCUGUUACUGUUUAGUUGACUGUGACUGGAACCUGGCAAGUAUAUAGGGCCCAUGGAUACAGAGACAGGAAAAAUGUUAAAUUCCCUCAAACUUUUCCAGAAAUUCUCAAAGCCCUUCUGAAUUAGCGUUGCUGACACUUAUGUGUCAAUAGAGAACACAUGAAGGUGUUACUGGGGACAGAAAGUGAAUAUUAACAUACGAAAAGGUUAGUUCUGUUAUUUGAGAGUGCUGUAGAAGAAGAAAUUUAGAAAUGCCAAGUUUAUCAGUCCAUCUAGCCCUGAUCCCAAUAAUUUAUUAAGUCAUCUUGCUGUAUAGUUUGCAAUGCUUUGUCUAGUCUAGUUCUCAAUGACUCAACUUAUGGAGUCUGCACCACUUCUCCAGGGAGAGAGUUUUCCACAGUUUGAACUGCUAUGAUAUUUUUGCUGAUAUCUAGCCUACCAUUUCAUUUCAUCCCAUUAUUCUUAGUCUCCUCCUUCCUCUCAAGUGCACCCAAACAAUCCUCUUUUUUGGUUUUAACACCUGUUGAAGUCUCAUAGACAUUUCCUGUUAGCUGUUCCACAUCUAUAUCUUCUCAUAUUUACUGUGAAAUAUUCUGGACUGUAUAAAGAAGGAGCACAUCAUGUAUAAAACAAGCAGGGUCACUUUUCUGCUCCACUUGGCACUGGUGAAAGUCUCAGCUGGCAUAGUGAAUUCAGUUUUGGAUGCUGCUCUUUAAGAAAAGACACUAACAAAUUGAAGAAACCUCAAAGGACAAUAACAAAAAUUAUAAAAUAUUUAAAAUUCAGAUGUAUGAGAAGCAGCUGAGACAGGCAUGUUCAGUCUACAAAGACUAAAGGAAGGCAAAAUAGCUGUCUACAAAUACAUGAAAUGAUGUGAUAAAGAGAACAGGGGCCAGUUAUUCUCAUUAGCCAGAGAGAAAAGGAGUGCAGAAACUGAUUUAAGCUGCAGAAAGGAAAAUUCCAGCUACAUAUGUGAGUGAUGUGUUUCAGCUACUCAAACAAUUAGGCAAUGGAACAAGCUGCUGUGAAAGGUUACAGAGUUAAAAUGGCCACAGAGAUUCCAGGCUAGACUCAACUGCUGGUCUAAUGCAAAAAAGACUCCCACCCUGAUUUUGGAAAGUUAACCAGAUGGGCUGCUGAUGGCAGAGUCUCACAAGUGAAUAGGAUUCCAUAUUAGGGAUACCAUGUGCCCUAAUACUAGGCCCCUAAAGGGACAGAUAAGUGCUGAAAAUCUGCCCAUCUUCCCAGCUUUUUAUCUUACUACAAAGUAGAGGAAGGAAGAGAAACUGGACUGUGUAGAGACAUUGGAAAGACGGGAGAUGGAGGUUAUGACUAACCUGGGUGCAAACAGGUGCUUCAUGCACAGACAUGUGGCAGCUUCAUUUCAAAGGCAGAGUGACUGAACGGGCAUCCUGUGUCAGCUGAGUGAACAAGCCCAGCUGAGAGGUGCAGGAAGAGUCCAGGACAUGGCAGAUCAAGUGUGGGUAUGAAUUUUUACAGGUCAGCUUAUCCCACUGGACUUGCCUGAAGUCACUGAUGAGGAACUGGAUCCAGAUGUCUGUAGUCUCAGGCCAGCACUUUGACCACAAACCCAUUUCUCCUCUUUGUAGCACUGUUUUCUCACCAUCUCCUUCUGAACUGAGUAGCCAUCUGAUCCUGCCAGGCUCAUGCAUCUUGAAUUCCUGCAAACUUGUGAGGAAUUUUCUGAGCACUAAAAAAAGCCAAGUCAAACCAAACCAAACCAAACUAAACCAAACCAAACCACCAACAAAAGGAGACAGUAAUGAAGAGGAAGCUGAUUUUUUGUCCUGAUGUUCUCUACCAGGUCCAAGAGCAGGCUUGUUGAGGCAGUGCCUUGUGUUCAGCUUCCAUCCAGCCUGGAUGCAGAAUUGCAAUCCAAGCCACCCUGUGGGCACACUGUGAGGGGGAACAUCAUGUCAGUGCUACAGACAAAGGAGCAAGGCAGGUCUACAACCUUUUUGUGUGAUUCUUAAGUGGGGAAGUGCACAUUCUGUGCAGGUUUCCUGGCACCAGAGCAAAGUGUAGUCUCCUGAAAAUCUGCACAUGGAAUUCUGCAGUUCUUGGUGGAGUGGGACAAUUUAGUCCCCUGUUUGUGGGACUGUCACAGGCACAGUUGGACCUUAGACUGAAAGUAAAUUCCAGUAAUACAUUCAAGGGUGAAAUGGACCAUUAGGAGCACUUUACUAGACAGAUGUGGAUAACAAUAAUUCACCUUAAGGCACGAUUUCCAGUCUUGUUUGUGGGACUCAAAAGUAAGAAGAUACUGACCUCCACAUGGAAAGUUUUCAGAAUUCCUUGGGGAUCUCAGCUAUGUCAAGUCCCUGAGAAUAAGAAGUCACAUGGUAAAUAGUUAUCUACAAGAAGAAAAGUGGCAGAUGGUACAGCAGAUCUGCACAGGCUCCUCAGCCCUGAAAGCCCUUUGGAGUGACCGAGCUCUCACAACGUGCUCGUAGAGCCUGCAGCACUGCAAAGCCUGUACCUUCUUGUGACCUUUAUAUGCUGCAUGAAGGACAGGCUAACCAGCACAGAGUGAAAAACAAGAAUCACAAAUGGAAAUAAUUUUCUGAAAUUUGGUUUAUCGGUAGUAUGGCAAACAAAAAAAAUGGUUUAAGUCCAGACUUGUAAAAUAUACCAACUUUCCUGUCCUGUUGCUAAAUGAGAGAGUACGAACAAUAAAUGUCCCUCAGAGAUAGUGACUUAUACAUGCAGUAGCUUAAAAGAAAAGUAAGAAUCAUCCUAAUGUCUGUCUCUGUAACCCUUGCCACUGUAGUUUGGAAAUGUAAUAGAAUUAUUGCCUAUGAAAAACAUAUCUAUGUCUUUCCCCUUCAAAUAUACCCACAAUAUCUGCUUUUGAAGUUGUGCAGGAGUAUUGUCAAACUUGUGAUGAUGUGGUGCAAGCUUUAAUUGUGAGAUACAAUUCAUUAUUAAGACUUUAAAUACUUUUCUAUGCUGAUGUGUGAACCAAAGAAAAGUAUUGAGUUCCCUUUAAUAAAUAUAUUUUAGAAGCACUUUUGUUUAAAUUUUAAUUACAAAGGGAGAUAUUAUUCCUGUCUGCUGAAAGGCAUUUCAUUGUUUUUCUUUCCUUUUAAUUUUGAAACAUAAUUCUAAAGGUACACCUUCCCGGCAGAAUAGCUUGUCAUUUACAUGUGCAAAUCCCAGCUUUAGCUGCAGCAAGAAGAAACAAGUGAAAAAGCUGUAAAUGGAUCUCAUAUAUCAUGUAAUUUUUGGUGAGCAGUAUUUAAGUGUAUCAAGUUUGCUCUGAUCUCUUAACUAUGCUGACACCAGCAUUUCAACCAAUGCACCCAUGAAUCCAGAAGGAACACAAAUGUGAAUAUGCAGAGUUCAGAUUUUGUAUGAUAUUCUGGAGUAGGACAUCAGGGCCAAAGACAUUUCUGUAUGAGCUGGUUACAGACAAAAUGUAAGUAUUGUUCACAUGCUGGGUUAGUCUGAGAAUGGAGCUGAGCCACUUGUGUUUUAUCAU